UGCUCGAGAUCAAAUUUUGGGGCGUUACAUAAAACCAAUACGUUGAAUCCCAAAUAGAAAAAACAGUCGGACAAGCCUUUACUUCUAACUAGAGAGCCACUGGGACAAUCCCCAGCUGACCCGAUUCAAACUGAAAUCAAAUAACUAGAGUACUACAGCAAUAACAAAUCUAAUAGAAUGAGUCCUCGAACUAUGAGGACUCCCCAAAGUCGGGAUGUAAGUGGAGAUGCUUGAAAUCAAUCACGCUGCGAGAACUGAGCACCAGGACCUACAUUUCAAUCACGCUGCUAGAACUGAGCACCAGGACCUACAUUAUAAGACAAUGUAGCACAUAGACAUAUAUGUGGAUCAGUACUUCUGAAAUGUACUGAAUAUGCGGGGGUGAAUCCAUAAGUAAAACAGUAACUCAAUAUUCAUAAAAACUUUUAAUUGAUGCAUGCCAAGUGUAAAUGACUCAUCUUAAGCUUGAAUAACUGAAAACUGAAAAUCAUAAAUCAUGAAUAAUAAAGCAUACUAUAUAAAUCUUGUGAGCCAUAUCACUUAGUUCUAAAAGUUAUACUGUUACUGAUUAUUUUGGGAAGUUUUUUUAACAUGCAUAAACCAUGUGAGCUAUCAUGGAGUCCAACAUCUCACACCCACGCUGGUAGAAUUGUUCUACCCUUGUCAUCGGAAUAGAACCUAACUAGAAUGAUCACUAUACCCAACCCAUAUUGGGACUUAAACCUAAGGUGGAACGUAGUUCUGGGGCAUGUGACCUUGGAAUCAUACCCAACUAGGUGCUAAAUACUACUCCCGUAUCACUUAUAUGUUCGCUCUUUAGGAAAUCCACUUUAAAAUAACAUAGAGGUUUAUAAUGAAUACCAAUUAUGCUUCUCUUUGCUUUGAACUAUAAUCAAAAUGAAUAAAUAUGGAUCAAUUCACAACCAAACUUUAUUCUCAAUAACAAUCUUCAAAUACUUCAAUGAUAUAAAGUCAAGAUAGUGCAAUCUCAUUCAUAAUAUAAAUCAUGCAAGUUAAAAACAUAAACAUAAGCACUUCUUGAUAUACUUAAAGCUUUAAAUCUCAUGAUAAUCACAUGCUUCAAGAAUAUAUCAACUUGGGUAUAAACCCUACUUCAAAAAAAUUAAAUAAAAAUCUUGAAAUCAUCCAAUUUGGGCACAAAGGUAAAAAGAUACCCUUGUUCAUAACCCUGCAUAUCUUAUUAGGCUUAAUUUGAUGUAGAAGUUUGACUUUGAACUCUUUGAGAUGUUCUUGAAGGCUCUUUCUUGAAGUUCUUGGAUUAAGAGCCUUAAAUUCUAAAUUAUCUUAAAGAGGAUGUGAAGGAGUUUUGGAGUUCUUGGAAUUUGGUUAGGGUUACUUGGACAGAAAACUGAUGGAGAAUGAGUGUAUAAUGCUUAAACCGACGUUCAAUCUUAUAUUUUUAUGACUUGGGGUAAUGGUAAAUGGCUUAAUUUCCCCUCUGGUGAUUAAAUUUACAAUUGGAAUAUUGUUUGGGGGCUUGGCGCGAUGCGAUGACAUGCCCAUUGCUACACCUGGCGUGACGCGGUGGACUCGUGUUGAGCUAUUGGAAUUGAAAUCCAAACAAGACCCAAACCUCGUCCGAAAAUUCUGAAACUUCCCCGAGGCAUGCUCCUUAUACCCCUGAAAAUGAAUCAACUCAAAAACCAUCAUCUCAGAGCUUAGAAGGUCAACAUUAAAAUUCUCAAAGUUAAGGAGUCAAAAUAAGGCUAAGUCUUCAACACUUAGCUAAAUUUUUUAGGUUCUAGGUCUCUUAUACAAGCAUUAUGAGCUGAACUAGACUAAGCCUAAUGAAGGGUAUUACAUAAACCUUUUAGGUUCUUGAAAUUUUGGACUGAAAAAGAUGGUUUCAAGGAUAUGAUAAAGCAGAAUUGGGUUCCAUUAGAUUCAUCAGCCUGUGAUGAUGUAUUUAUUAUGUUAAAGCUGAAAAUGAAGAAGACCAAGAUGGUACUGACUGGAUAGAGCAGAGUUAUGUUUGGAGAUAUUUUUAAGCAGUUGAAAAUUAGGGAAGACAUUGUAAAAGUUAAGGAGGAGUUGUUAGAAAAACCUACUACUAUUAAUAGAAUAAUUUUGAAAAGGGCACAGGCUAAGUUGAGGCAAUAUUUAUAUUAUGAGGAAGAAUAUUUGAGACAAAUAAUUGGUAUACAAUAAUUCUCCAAAGGGGACAGAAAUACCAAGUUUUUUCACAGUUUGGUUAAUGGGAGAAGGAAAAGAUUAGAUAUCAAUAGAAUUCAAAGGUUAAAUGGAUCUUGGGUUGAAGGUAUUCUCAAGUGGCUACAGCUGUAAUUGAUUUUUACCAGCAUCAUUUCACAUGUGCUAGUGAAUCUGAAGAUUUCUCUUUAAUUGAUUUGAUUCUUAAAUUGAUCAUAGAGGAAAAUAAUGAGCGUUUGAAGAAGUUAAGAGGGUGGUCUUAGAGUUGAAUGGGGAUAGUGCUUGUGGUCUAAAUGGAUUUGUUGGAUACUUUUUCCAAUUUUGUUGGGAUGUUGGUGGAGAUAAUAUUGUGAAGAAAGAUAAGGCCUUCUUUGAUUAAAGGGCUUUACCUAUAUUUUUUACUCAUACAAACUUGGUCUUAUUUUUAAAUAAAGACAAGGUUUUGACUUUCUCUGAUUUUAAGACCUAUAAGUUUGAGUAACUUUCCUAAUAAGAUUAUUUCUACCAUCAUUCAUGAUAGGUUUGAAGGAGUUCUACCUAAGCCCAUUUUCCAAAAUCAAUCUGGUUUUGGUAAAGGCAGAAGGAUCACUGAAAAUAUGUUACUAGCCCAGGAAAUCAUUACUGAUAUUAGGAAAAGGAGCAAGACUGCAAAUGUGGUAAUUAAGCUUGACAUUGCUAAAGUUUAUGAUAGGGUGGAGUGGAUAUUCCUAAUCAAAGUUUUGGAGCAGAUAGGUUUUUCUAAUAGUUUUUUUUAAUAUGGUUUGGAGACUGCUGGCUAAAAACUGGUACUCUAUUCUUAAAAAUAGGAAAUCACAAGGAUUCUUUCACUCCUCAAGAGGAGUGUAGCAGGGGGAUCCUUUGUCCCCAGCUUUGUUUAUUACUAAGCAAGUCUCUUAACAGUUUGUUUUCUUAUAGUGGUUUUAGGGGUUUUGGCCUUCCUAAAUAGAGUGAACAAAUUAAUCAUCUUGCUUAUACAAAUAAUAUUAUCAACUUUGCUUCUACUGAUAAAUUUUCUUUGCAAUUAAUCAUGCAGAUUCUUGUGGAGUAUGAAAAUCAAUCUAGGUAGAAGAUUAAUAGGAAGAAGAGUGCAUUUUUUUUGCACAACAAGGCUGGACACUCUUAUUCUCAAUUGAUGGAAGAAGUUACUGGCAUUUUAAAGGGCAAAUUUCCUUUAACCUAUCAGGGGUGUCCAAUUGGACAUAGUAGGAAGAGGAAGACUCACUUCAUAGAAUUACUGAAGAAGGUCCAAAAUAAAUUUCAACUAUGGAUAGGUAAAUUGUUAUCUUUUGGAGGCAAAAGUUGUGUUGAUUAAUAAUGUCUGACAAAGCAUUCUAAUUUAACAGUUAUCUGCUCUUAUGCCUCCAAAAUGUGUGAUUCAAGAUCUUCAUCGAUAAUUUGCUAAAUUCCUAUGGAAUUUAAAGGAGGUAGGGAGGAAUAAUCACUGGGUUUCAUAGGUAGAUAUCUAUUUACCGAAAGGAUGGUGGUCUUAGGUUCAAGUAUCUAUUUGAUGUAUCUAAAGACUUAUUUGCAAAGUUGCAGUGGAACUUUAGAACGCAGAAGACUAUGUGGACCAAUUUUAUGUGGAUCAAGAACUAUAAGAGGCAUAGAACUCAAGUUGUUGGAUGGGGAGGGGGUUCUAAAGCAUGGAAGUACCUGUCACUAGCCAAAGACUAUUUUGACCAAGAGAUUAUGGGAACCUAAAUGUGGUCAUGCUAGUAUCUGGUAUGAUAAUUGGACUCAGAAAGGAGCUAUUCAGUACUAUUUGUCCAUUGACUAUAUCGCUAAUAGAGGACUUGAGGAUGUACAUCAACUGAUGAAUAGAAAUGGGUGGAAUAUAAAUCUUCUUAAUGAAAUUUUCCCUGAGGAUUUGUGUGAUGAUGUUGUGAAUAAUCUUGGAAAAACAGGAAGGUAUGAAGAUGGGAUAAGGCAUGGUGGAUGCCUCAAACUUAUCAAAAGUUUACUGUUAGUAGUGCUUGGAACAGUAUAAGGCCAUCUUGUGUGUUCAUAGAUAUAUCAAGUUUGUAUGGGAAAAAGGAAUACCUUUUAAAGUAUCCUUGUUUUUGGAGAUAAUGGAAGAAAAGGCUUCCUAUUGGGACUUUCCUAGUUAAUACAGGGCUGGAAGAAGUGGUUAUGCUGUGAGAUAAUAGUGCAUGAAUCAUAUGAACAUCUGUUUGUGCAAUGCUCUACAACUAAUAAAUUAUGGAUUAAUUUUUCAGAAGUUGCUGAAAUUUAGGGUCCAUUUAUUCAGUUAAAAGAUACAAUCUAAAAAUGGUGGAAUGCUAACUAUUACUUUAAGCUCAGACCAUUAUUUACUGCUACCCCUGCUUUUAUAUUGUGGCAAACCUAGAAUAGGAGAAAAAUUAUCAAACAUGGAGGUAAGAUAUCAAUUCAUGGCGUGAAACUUGAGGUGAAUAGAAAUAUAUAUCUUUGAGCUAAGAUAAGGUAUCCAUGGCUGAGAAACUUACCCAAUAAUUGGCCUAUGAUGGUUAUGAUGUUGGAAGCUUAUAAACCUUAUAUGCAAGGUACUGUUGUGAGUUGGAAGCCCCCUAUUAAUGGUUUUCUCAAGUGUGACUCAGAUAGAGCUUCUAGGGGUAAUCCUAUACCUAGUGGAGGUGCUUUUUGUAUUAGAGAUACUGCAAGUGAUUUCAUUUAUGCUAGUUCUUUUAAGUUGGUACUAUAACCAUUCUGGAGGCAGAAGUGUGUAUAGAGGUUUGGAAUAUUGUAUCAGUAGAAGUUUACUGUCUGUAAUCAUGAAAACUGACUCAUUCAUGUUAAAUAACAUCCUUGAUCUAAUAUGGGAAGUUCCUUGGAGAUUGCAGUUGAUAUUAAGAGUACUAAAGGGUUGAUGAAACAAUUCCAGGUGAAGGUGGUGCAUCCAUUCAAGGAAGGGAACAAACUGACAGAUUUUUUUACUAACGAAGUUUUCUUUUUUGCAUGUUAUAAAAUAAAGAAUAUACAUCUUUACAAGAUAUUACAUGGAAGGAAAAGCAAUCUAUGAAUUAGAAAAGCAACAAAUGCCCAAAAUAAACAUUGUCAAAUGCCAAAAUAGGAAUUUUCAUACAUGAAUGCAACUAAGACGAGAUACAGAACAGAUCAAAGACAUCAGAUUGCAGCAUACGCACAGUGGGUCCGAAUUCAAAAUAAGAAAAAACAAACCACAUGGACAGUAACAGUAGAAUUGAUUUUUUAUUAAGGUUUGACAUGGUAUCUCAGUGUUUGAAUUCAACACGAACGUAUGGAACAUGGUUUAUUUCAAGAUCUUGAAUAAGUUUAGCAUAUUACCUUACCUGUGUCUAUUCAAAUCAGUUGAAUUACUACAUUUAAUCAGUAGUAUCAGCUCCCUGUUAAGCUUAAUUUGGUAAAGAGACAGUUUAGUUGAUUUGGUUUCCAUAGAUUAUAGGUAAUUCAAGGGUCGAGGUAUGAAUACCUCUUACCUGAGGAUUAAGCAACCAGAUGCGGUCUAAGAGGAGUUGAAAAAGUCUUCCAAGGAUGCGAUUUCAUGACAUUUAUGAGACAGAUGAAAAUGCCCAAAAUAAAAUCACCCAUGACUCAGAUUUUGACCAUCUCUAACUUGGUUUCCUUAUAUCAGUGUUUGAUUUGUACACCUGAUAAAUCGAUCGUAGUAGUGAAGAAGAUGAAGGCCAGCGGCAUCUUUCUAGAGAAUUCUUUAGUUCAUUUCCUAAUUUCCUUCAAAUUUUUGUUUUAUGUUUUUAUUUUCUUUCUUGACAAAUUCGGUUUGCG
This 5910-nucleotide long non-coding RNA is filed under the name Capsicum annuum. RNAcentral's name for it is "long non-coding RNA (CANN_LNC013627)". The record is from RNAcentral. Lineage: Eukaryota; Viridiplantae; Streptophyta; Magnoliopsida; Solanales; Solanaceae.